This 253-nucleotide ribosomal RNA is filed under the name uncultured bacterium. RNAcentral's name for it is "partial 16S ribosomal RNA". It matches the Rfam family "Bacterial small subunit ribosomal RNA", at positions 524 to 776 of the family's 1533-position model. The record is from RNAcentral.
UACGUAGGGGGCGAGCGUUGUCCGGAUUCAUUGGGCGUAAAGCGCGCGCAGGCGGUUGGCAGAGCCCGGCGUGAAAGCCCCCAGCUCAACUGGGGGAGGCCGUCGGAGACCUGUCGACUUGAGGCCGGUAGGGGAGAGCGGAAUUCCCGGUGUAGUGGUGGAAUGCGUAGAUAUCGGGAAGAAUACCCGUGGCGAAGGCGGCCGACUGGGCCGGAUCCGACGCUGAUGCGCGAAAGCGUGGGGAGCAAACAGG